UUUGAUCCUGGCUCAGGACGAACGCUGGCGGCGUGCCUAAUACAUGCAAGUCGAGCGGACAGAUGGGAGCUUGCUCCCUGAUGUUAGCGGCGGACGGGUGAGUAACACGUGGGUAACCUGCCUGUAAGACUGGGAUAACUCCGGGAAACCGGGGCUAAUACCGGAUGCUUGUUUGAACCGCAUGGUUCAAACAUAAAAGGUGGCUUCGGCUACCACUUACAGAUGGACCCGCGGCGCAUUAGCUAGUUGGUGAGGUAAYGGCUCACCAAGGCAACGAUGCGUAGCCGACCUGAGAGGGUGAUCGGCCACACUGGGACUGAGACACGGCCCAGACUCCUACGGGAGGCAGCAGUAGGGAAUCUUCCGCAAUGGACGAAAGUCUGACGGAGCAACGCCGCGUGAGUGAUGAAGGUUUUUGGAUCGUAAAGCUCUGUUGUUAGGGAAGAACAAGUACCGUUCGAAUAGGGCGGUACCUUGACGGUACCUAACCAGAA
RNAcentral lists this ribosomal RNA (494 nucleotides) under Bacillus sp. GMTB-C1-1. RNAcentral's name for it is "bacterial SSU rRNA". It matches the Rfam family "Bacterial small subunit ribosomal RNA", at positions 12 to 488 of the family's 1533-position model. The record is from RNAcentral. Lineage: Bacteria; Bacillati; Bacillota; Bacilli; Caryophanales; Bacillaceae. RNAcentral also lists the same sequence under 1 other name.